UACGUAGGGUGCAAGCGUUAUCCGGAAUUAUUGGGCGUAAAGAGCUCGUAGGCGGUCUGUCGCGUCUGCUGUGAAAACUGGGGGCUCAACCCCCCAGCCUGCAGUGGGUACGGGCAGACUAGAGUGCGGUAGGGGAGAUUGGAACUCCUGGUGUAGCGGUGGAAUGCGCAGAUAUCAGGAAGAACACCGAUGGCGAAGGCAGAUCUCUGGGCCGUAACUGACGCUGAGGAGCGAAAGCAUGGGGAGCGAACAGG
This 254-nucleotide ribosomal RNA is filed under the name uncultured bacterium. RNAcentral's name for it is "partial 16S ribosomal RNA". It matches the Rfam family "Bacterial small subunit ribosomal RNA", at positions 524 to 776 of the family's 1533-position model. The record is from RNAcentral.